CCUACGGGAGGCAGCAGUGGGGAAUAUUGCACAAUGGGGGAAACCCUGAUGCAGCGACGCCGCGUGAGUGAAGAAGUAAUUCGUUAUGUAAAGCUCUAUCAGCAGGGAAGAAAAUGACGGUACCUGAGUAAGAAGCCCCGGCUAACUACGUCCCAGCAGCCGCGGUACUACGUAGGGGGCAAGCGUUAUCCGGAUUUACUGGGUGUAAAGGGAGCGUAGACGGCAGUGCAAGUCUGGAGUGAAAGGCGGGGGCUCAACCCCCGGACUGCUCUGGAAACUGUACGGCUGGAGUGCAGGAGAGGUAAGUGGAAUUCCUAGUGUAGCGGUGAAAUGCGUAGAUAUUAGGAGGAACACCAGUGGCGAAGGCGGCUUACUGGACUGUAACUGACGUUGAGGCUCGAAAGCGUGGGGAGCAAACAGGAUUAGAUACCCUUGUAGUC
This 440-nucleotide ribosomal RNA is filed under the name uncultured bacterium. RNAcentral's name for it is "partial 16S ribosomal RNA". It matches the Rfam family "Bacterial small subunit ribosomal RNA", at positions 338 to 795 of the family's 1533-position model. The record is from RNAcentral.